UGGUGCCAGCAGCCGCGGUAAUUCCAGCUCCAAUAGCGUAUAUUAACGUUGUUGCAGUUAAAAAGCUCGUAGUUGAAGUGAGGGAGUGUGUGAUCAUGAAAGCACACCUGGAAUGUUCACAAUCCUCCCCCCUCCAAUCGGUGUAGUGGGGUAUUCAGUUAUUUCACUACUCCUUUGGUCGUUUACUGUGAGAAAAUUAGAGUGUUCAAAGCGGGCGUUUGUUUGAAUA
Molecule: ribosomal RNA, 229 nt
Filed under: Blastocystis sp.
Lineage: Eukaryota; Bigyra; Opalinata; Blastocystidae
Description: partial small subunit ribosomal RNA
Rfam family: Eukaryotic small subunit ribosomal RNA
Source: RNAcentral